UGAGGAAUAUUGGUCAAUGGGGGCAACCCUGAACCAGCCAAGUCGCGUGAAGGAUGAAGGUCUUAUGGAUUGUAAACUUCUUUUAUACAGGAAUAAAUUGGGGGACGUGUCCCCUUUUGCAUGUACUGUAUGAAUAAGGAUCGGCUAACUCCGUGCCAGCAGCCGCGGUAAUACGGAGGAUCCGAGCGUUCUCCGGAUUUAUUGGGUUUAAAGGGUGCGUAGGCGGCGAUAUAAGUCAGUGGUGAAAUAUUUCGGCUUAACCGAGAGACUGCCAUUGAUACUGUGUUGCUAGAAUAUGGUUGCUGUGAGUGGAAUGUGUGGUGUAGCGGUGAAAUGCUUAGAUAUCACACAGAAUAUCGAUUGCGAAGGCAGCUCACAAAGCCAUUAUUGACGCUGAGGCACGAAAGUGUGGGGAUCAAACA
This 422-nucleotide ribosomal RNA is filed under the name uncultured bacterium. RNAcentral's name for it is "bacterial SSU rRNA". It matches the Rfam family "Bacterial small subunit ribosomal RNA", at positions 355 to 774 of the family's 1533-position model. The record is from RNAcentral.